This 276-nucleotide ribosomal RNA is filed under the name uncultured bacterium. Its description in RNAcentral is "partial 16S ribosomal RNA". It matches the Rfam family "Bacterial small subunit ribosomal RNA", at positions 82 to 354 of the family's 1533-position model. The record is from RNAcentral.
CUCCCGCCGGCGACCGGCGCACGGGUGAGUAACACGUAUGAAACCUGCCCGUAGCAGGGGGAUAAGCGGAAGAAAUUCCGUCUAAUACCGCGUAACAACCCGAGGAGGCAUCUCCUCGGGUUUAAAGGAAGCGAUUCCGGCUACGGAUGGUCAUGCGUCGCAUUAGCUAGUUGGCGGGGUAACGGCCCACCAAGGCGACGAUGCGUAGGGGUUCUGAGAGGAAGGUCCCCCACACUGGUACUGAGGCACGGACCAGACUCCUACGGGAGGCAGCAG